AAACCAGCACCUCAAGUGGUCAGGAGGAUUAUUGGGCCUAAAGCAUCCGUAGCCUGUUCUGUAAGUUUUCGGUUAAAUCCACUAGCUCAACUAGUGGGCUGCCGAAAAUACUGUAGAACUAGGGAGUGGGAGAGGUAGACGGUAUUCGGUAGGAAGGGGUAAAAUCCUUUGAUCUAUUGAGGACCACCUGUGGCGAAGGCGGUCUACCAGAACACGUUCGACGGUGAGGGAUGAAAGCUGGGGGAGCAAACCGGAUUAGAAACCCCGGUAGUCC
Molecule: ribosomal RNA, 274 nt
Filed under: uncultured bacterium
Lineage: Bacteria
Description: partial 16S ribosomal RNA
Rfam family: Archaeal small subunit ribosomal RNA
Source: RNAcentral